CACGCACGCUGGCGGCAUGCCUAACACAUGCAAGUCGAACGAGACCUUCGGGUCUAGUGGCGAACGGGUGCGUAACGCGUGGGAACCUGCCCUUAGGUUCGGAAUAACUCCCCGAAAGGGGUGCUAAUACCGGAUAAUGUCUUCGGACCAAAGAUUUAUCGCCUUUGGAUGGGCCCGCGUUGGAUUAGCUAGUUGGUAGGGUAAAAGCCUACCAAGGCGACGAUCCAUAGCUGGUCUGAGAGGAUGAUCAGCCACACUGGGACUGAGACACGGCCCAGACUCCUACGGGAGGCAGCAGUGGGGAAUAUUGGACAAUGGGCGAAAGCCUGAUCCAGCAAUGCCGCGUGAGUGAUGAAGGCCUUAGGGUUGUAAAGCUCUUUUACCCGGGAUGAUAAUGACAGUACCGGGAGAAUAAGCUCCGGCUAACUCCGUG
Molecule: ribosomal RNA, 433 nt
Filed under: uncultured bacterium
Lineage: Bacteria
Description: partial 16S ribosomal RNA
Rfam family: Bacterial small subunit ribosomal RNA
Source: RNAcentral